This is a long non-coding RNA of Equus caballus (horse), 2413 nucleotides long. NCBI's taxonomy places the organism in Eukaryota, Metazoa, Chordata, Mammalia, Perissodactyla, Equidae. The record is from Ensembl.
UAGGAAGGAUUUACUGAACUAAGUCUUCCCCUUUCUGGAAGCAUGCGUGAAGGGCCAUUGAGGCAACGGUAGAAAAGCUGUCCUGUUUUCAAAGGUCUCCCAACAAGGAGGCAAAGCACUUUCCAGGUUUGGGGAUCAGCACUUUUUCAAGGCCACUGCAUUCCAUGCUCUUGGUUGUGAUACGAUGGGCGCUCUGCCGCCCCCUCUGGCCUGGCUGGCCUCGAUGCUCCUCUGGUCCAGUCUCUGGGCUGGAAACCACAGCUGGCCCUUCCUGAAAUGACUCAAUAUCCAACUUGGACACAGCUCCAGUCUCCUCCCUGCCACCUCCAGGCAACCAGUCCCGCAGGACCAAGCUAGGACCACAGAGGUCCCAGCUUUUCUCAGAAAGAUCCCUCUGCUGACCAAGGAUGGCCACGCCAGAAAUUCUGCAAAAUGCAAGAGCAAGCACUUUCAAGCCGGAGUUUCGUGUUUCCUGUCCCUGCGGGCUCAUUCUGCCAAACUUCACGAUACCAGAUGGAAGCAGCCAACCUAAAUGAGGGGACUGGAGGAGCAAACCUCGCUCAAGGAAAUCAGAGAUCAACUGGAAUCAAUCCUCGGGCUAUGGAAAGGAGUAACGCAAACAAAACACAGGUUGUGUGUAUGUUUGUGUAUGGGGGGGGCUGGUUGCCAUGACACAAAGGGCCACACCCACCAAGGCUGGGCUGAAACAGGGAUGAGGCUCUGAGACAGAAACUUGCGUAAACAGCCAAUCCUCUAGGAGAGGCCCCCCCCCCCCCACUGCAGUAGAACAACUGCCUAGUAAUGAGGAGACCCCCAGCUGAGGACACCAGCUUCUGAACAGUGGCUGAGCUGCUCUUUCUAGGCAUUAACUCCAGAAAUUGGAGAUGAGGAAACCAGAGCAAACUGGAGGUCAGCUUGGAGGUUGUGUCCAUCGCUGAACCAAUCAGUUGGGUAAGAGGAUUGUGUACCCGGAACGCCAGCCUGGAUGGUCUUAUUCAAUCCUCACAACAACUUUCUAAGUGAGCGAGGAAGGCUGUGUCAAUAUGGGGGUGCACCACGGGGUCUCCACAUGGAGAGCAGCUGCAGAGAGUCACCACACGUGCAACAAGGCUUUGUGUCAGAUCCCAUCCAGGCAGUACAACAUUACAUUUUGUCAUUGCAUCCCCUUAAGGACAUGACAGUUUCUCCGACUGUCCUUGCUUUUGAGCACCUUGACAGCUGUAAGGAGUGCUGGUCAGCUACCCUCCAAAGCACCAUGUUAAUUGACCACCAAAGACCCAUUUUCAACUCCCUUCUCCGUUGCUCUCUUCCAACUGUAGAAGCUGAAAAAGUGACAUUUUCCAGCCUCCUUUGUGGCUCAAAAUGGUCAUGUUACCCAGUUCUGGCUAACAAGAUGUAAGAAAAGUUUGCUGGGAGUUGUAGGGGUUGUGAGGGUUUUGGGGAGUGGAGAUGGGAAAGCGUCUGAGGAAGAUUUUUCAUCCCUGAUCAAAUAAGAAAAGCACAUGAAGAGAGCUCUUUCCACUUUGACCAUCACACUACAUCCUGACUUUGGAGGAAAUCUUAAGAAGAUGUGAUAUCUGGAGCUGUGGCAGCCAUCUUACAACCAUAAGGGGGAAGAUAGAGAGAAUUUGGACACUGACCCAGAGCCCUGGCAUCUAGGAGUUGCAAAGCCAGCCUGAUAACUGCCCACCUCUAUACUUCUUAGUAAGCAACUCUCCUUAUGGUUUAAGUCCCUAUUAGUCAGAGUUUCUAUUAUUUGCAGAAAACACAGAGGCUCUGUUAUAGGCCCUGUGAGAGUUGGUGGGCAGGCAUCAUCCUUAGAGUACAGAUGAGACCUAGAGAGGUUGGGGACUUGCCUGAGAUGUCCUGAUAUGGAAAGACACGUUAUCCCAGGGUGGCUGAGCAAAGAGUGAGUGUGGCUGCAGAUAAGACAGGGGAUGACCUGGGGUGGGGGUGGACAUCUGGAACACCAGGAGAGGAGUAGAAAGCCACUGCAUUUCUGUACUUGAAGGAAGAGUUAGUGGGAGGAGGCACAGGGAAGGUUCGGGGCACUUUGGCCAGAAAGCAGACAUGCAGACUUGCAGGUGGAACAACAAAGGGCAGCCCGCCUCCAGCAGAGACUUCCUCGUGGCUGCCUCCAGAGAGCCUGCAGGAAGGAAGGAAAGGCAGUGGCUGGGAUUCAACGUAGACUAAAAGGACCUAAAUUUAGACCAGACAUCCAGGGAGACGCUAGGAAAUCCACUCGAGAUGAUCUCUCGCUCUGCAACGCUUUGCCCUAUAAUGGCCCAGCUGGCUAGUUUCUCAUGUGGCACCCCAGCUGUCCUUCGUGGUAGACAGGGGUGCGAAUGUUCACUUAGAGGUGAGACAGCAAUGACACAAAGCCACACGGGGGAUCAAAGGCGAGAACCCUGGG